RNAcentral lists this long non-coding RNA (225 nucleotides) under Elaeis guineensis (African oil palm). RNAcentral describes it as "long non-coding RNA (EGUI_LNC041426)". The record is from RNAcentral. Lineage: Eukaryota; Viridiplantae; Streptophyta; Magnoliopsida; Arecales; Arecaceae.
UAGGUUUGAGUCAGAGGAAGAGAAUUUAGGAGUCAAAAGUCAAUCUAUCUAUCUGAUGGAUGGGAUGGAGAUGUAGAUAUAUCCAUAUCAUCGAAUGAAAUAUGUAAAAAUAAUUCAUUCGAGAAUCGAAGGAGUAUAUCAAAAUAUACUCCUCCAUGCCGGUUUAGGCUUGAGACAGAAAGGAGGGGUACCUAAGAUGUUAAAAUUUAAUCUAAACAUUCAAUG